This is a long non-coding RNA of Cydia strobilella, 1183 nucleotides long. RefSeq lists it as uncharacterized. NCBI's taxonomy places the organism in Eukaryota, Metazoa, Arthropoda, Insecta, Lepidoptera, Tortricidae. The record is from RefSeq and is a predicted model, not a curated record. The transcript is spliced from 2 exons.
CAUCACAAAGGAGCCUACGGCCACGUCUCAAUGCUCAUGAUAGAUCAAUUAUAUGGAUACUUUAUAAUUUUUUGCGUCGAUUAAUGCGUGUCGAAUGUGCACUGAUCUAUUGUCACCGCGAUCCGGUACCGAUAUGGAGAUGAUGGUACAGAUCUACGAAACACUUAUUACGUUUGAUAUAAAGCGUAUUAUCGCUUAUUUUACAAUGGUAUGAUUUGGUUAUACCUUAAUGUGACAUUGUGUGCGUUUAAGUCCGGUACCAUUGAACGGAGGACGCGGGCAUUAGUGGUCCGCGCACGAAGGGACCCCGGUCGCGUAUAUAAGGAUACGGCGCGGCGGGAGGAACUGACACAUAUCAAGCAGCAAUCCCGUCUAGUGCAGGCUAGAGCAGGCUUUGGUGGCUUUUUUUAAACCACACAUUACCACGAUGAUGAAAUUGAUGGCAUUGGUUGUGUGCCUUCUGGCGGCGCUGGUGCUGAGCCCUGCAGAGGCGAAACCACAGGUGCUGGUCGACUAUGGGUACUCCGCCGGCUACUACGCGCCCGCCUACGUCUCCCCCUACAGCGCUGUCGCCUACUCCUACCCUUACGCCUACACGUACUCUUACCCCUACGCGUACUACUAGAAAGACCGAGUAGCUUGAGUGGGCUUCGUCGGACAAAGCAGUCAUGAGUUAUCGUUAUUUUACUAUGUUCAAAUAAUUAAGAAUUUCGUACAAUAUAGCUACCAAAAUAUCCGUAUUGACGUAGCUAUUUGCUAAUUCCUUUUAACGAAUGACAAUGAUAAUCGACGAUUAACAUGGCUCGAGAAUUUAUCCAGAUACUCAUAAACAGUUUUGCGAAGAUAUUAGAUAUGUAUAAUUAAUUAAUUAUCUAACUAACCUGUGAUGUAAGUAAGUAAUAAUUCUAUAUUAAAUGUAUAAUUAGUGUAAUGUACCUAUACCUAAUAUAUAUAUUUUAUUUCGGUCCAGGCCUCACAACCGGUGUACAACUUUGUUAUAGUGUAAGAGCUCUUAGUGAUUGUAUUUUUAUUAGCGAACAGUAAUUCACUUUCAAUUGCUAAUUAUUGUUACCAAGAUAUUGGGUAGACCUGUUGGUUCUUAAUGAAACAAUCGGCCUUGACUGAUUAUUUUUUUUCUGUGUAAUGGCGUUAAAUGAUUGCUAAUACAUUUGUUGUUAAGAUA